GUUUACCUAGCUUGAGCACGGAGGAGCCCAAAGCGGAGAGAGAAAUGAACGAGUGAAAUAAGUCAUAAAGAGUUGAUUUAGAACCUGUGAAAUAAUACUCACCUGGUUGGUGAUUCAUGAGCACCUUAUCUCAAUGAACCACAUCGGUUUUGGUCAGGUUUUUCUGUUAUAUCUGUUUAAAGUUGGACUUGGAGUGGAGGUUUUGCUGUGUGUGUGGGACGACACGGGAGACAAGAUGCCAAACCCACGGACUAAGUUUCUACAGACCCUGCUUCGUCGUGCCAGUGAGAAGAUCUGCUGCACACAGAUGGACUGUUGGUAAACUCACUGCCAGAGCGGUAGGAGUAUUGACCCCCUUUUUUCCUAUUUUUCUUGAACUGAAUUGAUUCAGAAACACAUCUGGAUUCAAGAACUGAACUUGAUCUGGAAACACAUCUGGAAUCAAGAAUUGAACUUGAACUGAGUUUAAAACAAUUUGAAUCAAAUUGAAGUGUUAUCUACUGUAUGCUGUACUCCUUCAUAAUUGUCAAGAGUUUGAUUUAUGGUAUAUGGUUUCACUUAAUUUGGAUUUUGUGAUAUCAAUCUCUUACCUGUGAAAAGGCAAAGAAAAAAAAAGUUAACUCGAGAAAAUAACUAAACCAAACAGGAAUAACUUGUUAACCUAAGAAAAGAUAGUUAAUUAAAGACUGGUGUAAUUUAAAAUAACAUUGACUAACUAACUUAAAGAUAUUUGUAGCUCUAAAACUGAACCUGCCACAGCCUCAGAAAGACAGUAAAGUUGGGUCUCAGAGGGUUAACAGGAUGAUGAGGAUCAGCAAAUUCAACUGUAUGAAAACAGCGGAGGCAACAAAUAUGAUUGGCUGUUGUUGAUGUUGAGCUCAUUACUCUAGCCUUAAACUUGAACCUACUAGAGCCUCUGAAAGACAGUCAGAGGGUUAAAUACCGGUCGGCUCAGCAGGGAUGCCGACAGUGGCACGCUUCCUCGAGCUCCCCCGAUCUGCGGCAAGGUCGAACCACCGUAUUGCGUUCUUUUGAAAUGUCAGCAUCAGUGGCGGCACGGGAGAAGGCACUCUUUCUCACGGCAUCUGUAAUCACAUAAGAAGAUUAUCAUACAAAAUUUCAUGAACCCCCAUUGUAACCACCAGUUUUUAUGUUUUAAAAGGAUACACAUAACCACUAGCUUUUAGACUGAAAGGCUGCUUUCUGACAUGUAAAUGUU
Molecule: long non-coding RNA, 1219 nt
Organism: Sebastes umbrosus (honeycomb rockfish)
Lineage: Eukaryota; Metazoa; Chordata; Actinopteri; Perciformes; Sebastidae
Exons: 2
Source: RefSeq, a predicted model, not a curated record